Molecule: unclassified non-coding RNA, 254 nt
Filed under: Patescibacteria group bacterium
Lineage: Bacteria
Description: contains 16S-23S intergenic spacer region
Rfam family: Bacterial small subunit ribosomal RNA
Source: RNAcentral
UACGGGGGCCCCAAGUGUUGUCCGGUAUUAUUGGGCGUAAAGAGUUCUGUAGGCGGUAUUGUAAGUUACGGGUUAAAUCCUCCGGCUCAACCGGAGAACCGCUCGUGAUACUGCAUUACUAGAGGUAGACAGGGGAAGGCGGAACGCAUGGUGUAGCGGUGGAAUGCGUUGAUAUCAUGCGGAACACCGAAGGCGUAGGCAGCCUUCUGGGUCUUACCUGACGCUGAGAGACGAAAGCGUGGGGAGCGAAACGG